Molecule: transfer RNA, 69 nt
Filed under: Ictidomys tridecemlineatus (thirteen-lined ground squirrel)
Lineage: Eukaryota; Metazoa; Chordata; Mammalia; Rodentia; Sciuridae
Description: Spermophilus tridecemlineatus (thirteen-lined ground squirrel) tRNA
Rfam family: tRNA
About the family: Transfer RNA (tRNA) molecules are approximately 80 nucleotides in length. Their secondary structure includes four short double-helical elements and three loops (D, anti-codon, and T loops). Further hydrogen bonds mediate the characteristic L-shaped molecular structure. tRNAs have two regions of fundamental functional importance: the anti-codon, which is responsible for specific mRNA codon recognition, and the 3' end, to which the tRNAs corresponding amino acid is attached (by aminoacyl-tRNA synthetases). tRNAs cope with the degeneracy of the genetic code in two manners: having more than one tRNA (with a specific anti-codon) for a particular amino acid; and 'wobble' base-pairing, i.e. permitting non-standard base-pairing at the 3rd anti-codon position.
Source: Rfam by way of RNAcentral
GGGGUUGUGGCUCAGUGGCAGAGCACUUGCCUAGCAUGUGUGAGAUCCUGGGUUCAAUCCUCAGCACCA